CCUACGGGAGGCAGCAGUGAGGAAUAUUGGUCAAUGGGCGCUAGCCUGAACCAGCCAAGUAGCGUGAAGGAUGACUGCCCUCUGGGUUGUAAACUUCUUUUAUAUGGGAAUAAAGUGCAGUAUGUAUACUGCUUUGCAUGUACCUUAUGAAUAAGGAUCGGCUAACUCCGUGCCAGCAGCCGCGGUAAUACGGAGGAUCCGAGCGUUAUCCGGAUUUAUUGGGUUUAAAGGGAGCGUAGGCGGGUUGUUAAGUCAGUUGUGAAAGUUUGCGGCUCAACCGUAAAAUUGCAGUUGAUACUGGCAUCCUUGAGUACAGUAGAGGUAGGCGGAAUUCGUGGUGUAGCGGUGAAAUGCUUAGAGAUCACGAAGAACUCCGAUUGCGAAGGCGGCCUGCUGGACUGUAACUGACGCUGAUGCGCGAAAGUGUGGGGAUCAAACAGGAUUAGAUACCCGUGUAGUC
Molecule: ribosomal RNA, 460 nt
Filed under: uncultured bacterium
Lineage: Bacteria
Description: partial 16S ribosomal RNA
Rfam family: Bacterial small subunit ribosomal RNA
Source: RNAcentral